RNAcentral lists this ribosomal RNA (449 nucleotides) under uncultured bacterium. Its description in RNAcentral is "partial 16S ribosomal RNA". It matches the Rfam family "Bacterial small subunit ribosomal RNA", at positions 29 to 523 of the family's 1533-position model. The record is from RNAcentral.
AACGAACGCUGGCGGCAGGCUUAACACAUGCAAGUCGAACGCCUCCUUCGGGGUGAGUGGCAGACGGGUGAGUAACGCGUGGGAACGUGCCCUUCAGUUCGGUAUAACCCAGGGAAACAUGUGCUAAUACCGGAUACGUGCGAGAGCAGGAAGAUGUAUCGCUGAAGGAUCGGCCCGCGUCGGAUUAGCUAGUUGGUGGGGUAAUGGCCCACCAAGACGACGAGCAGUAGCUGGUCUGAGAGGAUGAUCAGCCACAUUGGGACUGAGACACGGGCCAAAAUCAUAAGAGAAGCAGCAGUGGGGAAUAUUGCGCAAUGGGUGAAAGCCUGACGCAGCGACGCCGCGUGGACGAUGAAGGCCUUCGGGUUGUAAAGUCCUUUUAACUGGGAAUAUUAUGACUGUACCAGUUGAAUAAGUCACGGCUAACUACGUGCCAGCAGCCGCCGCGG